Molecule: unclassified non-coding RNA, 233 nt
Filed under: uncultured fungus
Lineage: Eukaryota; Fungi
Description: sequence contains ITS1, 5.8S rRNA gene
Rfam family: 5.8S ribosomal RNA (bases 185-233)
Source: RNAcentral
UCUCCGUUGGUGAACCAGCGGAGGGAUCAUUACUGAGUUGCAAAACUCCAACCCUUUGUCAUUAUUAUACUCUUCAGUUGCUUCGGCGGGCGGCCCCAGGGCGGGCUCGCGUCCGCCUGCCGAAGACCCUUUGCAAACUCUUUACUGUUUUUGUGUCCUUCUGAAGCCUAAAAAAAUAAGUUAAAACUUUCAACAACGGAUCUCUUGGUUCUGGCAUCGAUGAAGAACGCAGC